UGCUGGCUCACAUCCAGUUUUUCAUCUAGAACCCCCAAGCCCUUCAGUGCUAGGCUGCCCUCAAUUCAUUCAUCUCCCAGUUUGUAUUUGUGCAGCACCUUGCACUUGGCCCAAAAAGUCCUGUGUGACUUCUAGAAAAACUCACAGGAGAUGAUGUGAAUGGAAAACGGUUUCCAUUUUGGAAAAUUUGGGCUUUAAGGCCUUAUAGUAGGUUGUGUAUCAGCGUGUACUAAGGCAGAGACAGUUGAGAAGUCAUUCUGGGGCAGGCAGGCUGCCGGUGAUGCGUGGUGCAAAAAGUCAUCCUGUGUGGUGCAGAGUGAGCUCAGAGCUUCCAUCACAGCGUGGUGAACUCUUCACCCGGGUUGUGCCAUGCUGCAGCGCAUCAGUGCCACUAGUGGGGAGGCCAGCAGGGACCCUGGGAAGCAAAUGGGAGCAGGUCACUGCCGAGGAUGCACAAGGAGCACACACCAAAAUGCUGGUGUUUCAUUUGCAAGACUGAAUUCAAACAUUCAACUAACUUUGAUUGAUAUGUACCUAAUUACAUCCACAUAUGCCAGCAAACAGUUGUUAAAAGCCAAAUGCUUCAUACAUACUUUGAGGGCAGAACUUCUCAGCAAAGCGCUGUUCCCAGCAGUGAUGCUCACCAGCAGCUUCUGUCCCGUCAUCUCCAAUAAGUGCCGCAGCUGAGACAUAAACCAUCCUCCUGCCGACCGCCACACAGAUGCUAAUCCCAACCAGAACAGCAGCAUCCCUGCCUCUGAGGCAUCUGCAAAGCAGAGAGCUGUAUGAUACGGGAAGGACAAGAGUCAUUUCCAGGUUAAGAAGAUGCAACAGACAUGAGGAGACUUGCAGACGGGAUUGCUAAGGAGGCAUCUCUUCAGCAAAGGUGACACCAGAGAUCUCCAGCCUUCACCUCUCACCACCUCAUACCACACUGCUCUCUCAGGGCUAUAUUUAAAUCCACUCACUUCAGUGAUUGCUUUAUGUCAAGAACCACAGAUGCAGCGGAUCCUCCAUUUCCCGCUGGGGAUGGAGGAAAGGGAGCACCAGGCUGGGAGGGCAUCUCUCGGGGCAGCACUGUGGCACACCAUGCCAUGUUGCACCAUGCUGUGCCAUGUCACACCACACUGCACCGCUGUACUUUCAGCCUGCAAGGCCAGCUAGGGAACAGACGAGCUGUGGAGGCAGCAGAGGAACCAUCAAGUGACAAUGCAAAUGGGAAGUGUGGCCACACCAGCUUGAAGCAGCUUGUGCCUGCUGCUUUUAAGCAGUUUUUGAAUAUACACAACUCUGUAAUGAAUGGUUAAGCUCCUGACUCACGGGGAGCAUUUAACUCAUGGACCCAGCUCACUCCUGAGGCAGGCUGACCUGCCAUGUGCCAAACAAGCCUUUCUUGAUGGGCUGCUUCCAUGCGGCCCGAGCCAUGACCGCUCCUUCCCUUUCUCCCCGCUGGCAGCAGGCUGGGCCGUGAGAACCCAUCCAGGAAAUGCCAGGCAGCGUGAGUAAUGCCGCAGUGCCUCUGGGAUGUGUCAGCAGGAGAUGGGUGCCGCACAAAGGGAAGCAGUGCCGCAGCUAUUUCCUGUGACUGCAGGAGAACCCGCCUGCUCCUCUGGGUAAUCGUGAGCUGACGCUGCAGGCAGCCUGGCUUGCGUCAUUCCGGCAGAGCUGGGGACUUCUCAGCAUGGGGAAAUGGCAUCCAGUUCCUGUGGGCAUGCCCAGCUGGCCCAACUUGAAAGAAGCACCAGACACAGCUGAAAAGGGGCUUUUAUGUUGCCUGCCUUUCAGGAUCUUCCUGACACCCAUGAAGCUGAGAACUUUGCUCUUAAAAUGUAAAAGGAGAGUUGAGGGAAAGUCAAAUGUGCCUUUCUGAAUGCUGUCGACUGUUCGGCAUGACUGCCUUUCCCUGUCCUCAGUGAGGAGCUGGAGACCCCUCAGAGCCCAGAUUGUCAGGACAGCCCAUGGAGACUUUAAGAUAUUCAAAAUGACUUGAAAAUUGCAGAAAAAAAAAAACCAAACAAAAAAACCCAAAACAAAACAAACCCAAACCAACCAACAAACAAACACAGAACAAAAAAAGUAAUCAUACUCUAAGGGCCUUCACUGCCCUUCCAAACACAAUGCCUAAAUAAACCUGAUCUUUCAAACAUCUCUUGUCUUCCCUUGAGCAAGAACAGAUCAAGUACAGCAAGUACUGAUCAAUUCAAAUGGUGUUUGGUCAA
This is a non-coding RNA of Phasianus colchicus (ring-necked pheasant), 2219 nucleotides long. NCBI's taxonomy places the organism in Eukaryota, Metazoa, Chordata, Aves, Galliformes, Phasianidae. The record is from RefSeq and is a predicted model, not a curated record.